This 1184-nucleotide ribosomal RNA is filed under the name Clostridioides difficile. RNAcentral describes it as "partial 23S ribosomal RNA". It matches the Rfam family "Bacterial large subunit ribosomal RNA", at positions 672 to 1874 of the family's 2925-position model. Lineage: Bacteria; Bacillati; Bacillota; Clostridia; Peptostreptococcales; Peptostreptococcaceae. The record is from RNAcentral.
CGAAAGCGAGUUUUAACUGAGCGUUCAGUUACUUGACGUAGACCCGAAACCGGGCGACCUACCCAUGAGCAGGAUGAAGCGAAAGUAAAAUUUCGUGGAGGUCCGAACCCACGAGCGUUGAAAAGCUCGGGGAUGACUUGUGGGUAGCGGUGAAAUUCCAAUCGAGCCCGGAGAUAGCUGGUUCUCCCCGAAAUAGCUUUAGGGCUAGCCUCAAGGUGAGAGAUACGGAGGUAGAGCACUGAAUGUCCUAGGGGGUAUUGCACCUACCGAAGACUAUCAAACUCCGAAUGCCGUCAUCUUAUACUUGGGAGUCAGACUGUGGGUGAUAAGAUUCAUAGUCGAAAGGGCAACAGCCCAGAUCGUCAGCUAAGGUCCCUAAAUGUAAGUUAAGUGGUAAAGGAUGUGGGAUUGCACAGACAACCAGGAUGUUGGCUUAGAAGCAGCCACUCAUUCAAAGAGUGCGUAAUAGCUCACUGGUCGAGUGAUCCUGCGCCGAAGAUUUCCGGGGCUAAAACUUACUACCGAAGCUACGGCAUCAGUAAUGAUGGGUAGGGGAGCUUCCCAUACGGGUUGAAGCAUGACCGUAAGGACAUGUGGACAGUAUGGGAGUGAGAAUGUUGGCAUGAGUAGCGAGAUGUGGGUGAGAAUCCCACAGGCCGUAAACCCAAGGUUUCCAGGGGAAGGUUCGUCCGCCCUGGGUUAGUCGGGACCUAAGCUGAGGCCGAAAGGCGUAGGUGAUGGACAACAGGUUGAUAUUCCUGUACUACCGAUAACCGUUUGAGAGAAGGGAUGACACAGUAGGAUAAGCUAAGCACACUGUUGGUUAUGUGUGCCCAAGCAUUGAGGCAGUCAAAGUAGGCAAAUCCGCUUUGAUAAUGCUGGGAUGUGAUGGGGAGCGAAAUUUAGUAGCGAAGUAGCUGAUUUCACACUGUCAAGAAAAGUCUCUAUCGAGGUUAAAGGUACCCGUACCGCAAACCGACACAGGUGGGUGAGGAGAGUAUCCUAAGGCCAGCGAGAGAACUGUUGUUAAGGAACUCGGCAAAAUGACCCCGUAACUUAGGGAUAAGGGGUGCCACCAUCAGGUGGCCGCAGAGAAUAGGCCCAAGCGACUGUUUACCAAAAACAUAGGUUUCUGCUAAGUCGCAAGACGAUGUAUAGGAGCUGACGCCUGCCCGGUGCUGGAA